UACGUAGGUGGCAAGCGUUGUCCGGAUUUACUGGGCGUAAAGAGCGCGCAGGCGGUCGUUCAAGUCGCGUGUGAAAGCCCCCGGCUCAACUGGGGAGGGUCACGCGAUACUGAUCGACUCGAAGGCAGGAGAGGGUAGUGGAAUUCCCGGUGUAGCGGUGAAAUGCGCAGAUAUCGGGAGGAACACCAGUAGCGAAGGCGGCUCGCUGGGCCAUUCCUGACGCUGAGACGCGAAAGCUAGGGGAGCGAACAGG
RNAcentral lists this ribosomal RNA (253 nucleotides) under uncultured bacterium. RNAcentral describes it as "partial 16S ribosomal RNA". It matches the Rfam family "Bacterial small subunit ribosomal RNA", at positions 524 to 776 of the family's 1533-position model. The record is from RNAcentral.